RNAcentral lists this ribosomal RNA (550 nucleotides) under uncultured bacterium. Its description in RNAcentral is "bacterial SSU rRNA". It matches the Rfam family "Bacterial small subunit ribosomal RNA", at positions 355 to 896 of the family's 1533-position model. The record is from RNAcentral.
UAGGGAAUCUUCCACAAUGGACGCAAGUCUGAUGGAGCAACGCCGCGUGAGUGAAGAAGGUCUUCGGAUCGUAAAACUCUGUUGUUAGAGAAGAACACGAGUGAGAGUAACUGUUCAUUCGAUGACGGUAUCUAACCAGCAAGUCACGGCUAACUACGUGCCAGCAGCCGCGGUAAUACGUAGGUGGCAAGCGUUGUCCGGAUUUAUUGGGCGUAAAGGGAACGCAGGCGGUCUUUUAAGUCUGAUGUGAAAGCCUUCGGCUUAACCGGGGUAGUGCAUUGGAAACUGGAAGACUUGAGUGCAGAAGAGGAGAGUGGAACUCCAUGUGUAGCGGUGAAAUGCGUAGAUAUAUGGAAGAACACCAGUGGCGAAAGCGGCUCUCUGGUCUGUAACUGACGCUGAGGUUCGAAAGCGUGGGUAGCAAACAGGAUUAGAUACCCUGGUAGUCCACGCCGUAAACGAUGAAUGCUAGGUGUUGGAGGGUUUCCGCCCUUCAGUGCCGCAGCUAACGCAAUAAGCAUUCCGCCUGGGGAGUACGACCGCAAGGUUG